This 1782-nucleotide long non-coding RNA is filed under the name Zonotrichia albicollis (white-throated sparrow). RNAcentral's name for it is "lncRNA (ENSZALG00000017537.1)". Lineage: Eukaryota; Metazoa; Chordata; Aves; Passeriformes; Passerellidae. The record is from RNAcentral.
AUGUCGCGCUUUACAUCACUCUUUGCGACAGUCGUGCCUUACAUCACUCUUUACGACAGCAGCGCUUUAUGGCCCCUUUUACAACAGUCGCACUUUACGGCCGGUUUUGCGACAGUCGCUCUUUAUGGCCCCUUUUACGACAGUCGCACUUUAUGGCACCUUUUACGACACUUUAUGACAGUCGCGCUUUACGGCAGUUUUACGACAGUCGCGCUUUACGGCACAUUUUACGACAGUCGCGCUUUACAGCACCUUUUACGACAGUCGCGCUUUACGGCCCCUUUUAUGACAGUCGUGCUUUACGGCAGUUUUACGACAGUCGCGCUUUACGGCACAUUUUACGACAGUCGCGCUUUACAGCACCUUUUACGACAGUCGCGCUUUAUGGCAGUUUUACGACACUUUACGACAGUCGUGCUUUACGGCACCUUUUACGACACUUUACAACAGUCGCGCUUUACGGCAGUUUUACGUCUGUCGCACUUUACGGCAGUUUUACGACAGUCGCGCUUUACGGCACCUUUUACGACAGUCGCGCUUUACGGCACCUUUUACGACAGUCGCGCUUUACGGCAAUUUUACGACAGUCGCGCUUUACGGCAAUUUUACGACAGUCGCGCUUUACGGCACCUUUUACAACAGUCGCGUUUUACGGCUCAUUUUACGACACUUUACGACAGUCGCGCUUUACGGCAGUUUCACGACAGUCGCUCUUUACGGCCCCUUUUACGACAGUCGUCCUUUACGGCACCUUUUACUUGGAACAACACUGUCAAAAUUGCCCUCACUGAAUGCCUCCUCAAUUCCCAGAGGUAAAACUAAAUGUCUGGUCUGGGAGAUUGUAAGGAUUGGGUGUUUUGUUUUCUUGAUCUGAUAAAUGAUCAGAACACUUCAAAUCAUGGGCAACUGCUUCAUUCCAGCAAGUUUUAACCCCGCCCCUAAAAUUCAAGGUCUACAUUCAAGACACACUCCAAGCAAUGUACACUGAAGGUUAAGAAUUUAUCUAGCACUUUUGAAUAUAGUGUUUAAUGCACUGAAUUAAAAAUUCAAAUCAUACUAGGUUCCAGGCUGGGGCUCACAAACAUGUUGUGAUCACCAAGUACCAAACAUCAUUAAAACCUGUCAGGAGCACACUGAAGAUCAGGAGAACCCAGACAAUGUGAGAGACAAGAACACACUGCAGAGCCCAGCUGGCACAACCUGCAUUUCAGGAUCUGAGUCCUAACAUGCAACAAGGUUUCCCGUGUGUGCCAUUCCACAGUCAGUUCCUGACUUGUCCCACAGUACCUGGACCAUCCAUCGUCUGCAGUCCCAGAGAAAUGGGGUUUAAACUGAUACUUAUUUAAACUUUACUCCAUUUAAGCCAAAUACUCUGUAAAAUUUCUGAAAAAUUAACCACUUGCAUGUAAAAACUACACAAAUCUUCAUUCUGUAACUGACAACACAAAUAAUGUUUCAUUUGCACUCUAAAAAUUACAUUUCUGUACAGUAAAGCACAACUUAAACCCUUCUCAGGUAUUCAAGUCCUACCCAAGAAAGGAGAAUGAAAGUUAUUAUAAUCUGGCUAAAGCCAUGGAGAUUUAUGGAGAUACCUUAAACAGAGCUGUAACAAUUUGACAAAGGAGAGCACAUCCAAAUUUUGAGCCAUGCAGAAGGGAGUUCCCAGAGGUGCUGCUUGAGGUGUCUGCACAUGGAAUGACUGGACACCCAUCAUGGCAGAUUUUGUAUUACUGAACUUCUUGUACAAAAGCUGAUUUCAAAUAAAACAUUUAAUGAAAAACA